Long non-coding RNA from Oncorhynchus nerka (sockeye salmon), 9069 nucleotides. RefSeq lists it as uncharacterized. The transcript is spliced from 3 exons. NCBI's taxonomy places the organism in Eukaryota, Metazoa, Chordata, Actinopteri, Salmoniformes, Salmonidae. The record is from RefSeq and is a predicted model, not a curated record.
ACACAGGAGUGAUGGUUGCUGAUAAUGGGCCUCUGUACGCCUAUGUAGAUAUUCCAGCUACAAUAGUCAUUUACAACAUUAACAUUGUCUACACUGUGUUUCUGAUCAAUUUGAUGUUAUUUUAAUGGACAAAAAAAAUAGCUUUUCUUUAAAAAACAAGGAUAUUUCUAAGUGACCCCAAACUUUUGAAAGGUAGUGUAUAUUUGGAGUAGUGCCUUUCCUCAGCCAUGGUGUGUUAUAUGUGCAAAAGUACUAUCUCACAAGUCGAUGAAACCUUCACUCAUGCGCAGACAUAUAGAAGCAAAACAUACCAAUUUGAAAAAUAAGCCACAGGAUUUUUUGUUGUUGCAAUAAUUAAGAUUGCUUUUGAGUAGUAAGACAUGUAUAAAAGCAACAUUAAUACCAUUAAUGAGAAGGGGCUAGAAGCGUCUUAUAUGGUGAGUUACCGAGUGGCAAGGACAGGCAAGCCCCAUACUAUUGUGGAGGACUUAAUUCUUCCUGCUGCCGUGGAUAUGGCUGGGACAAUUCUGGAGGAACUAUAGACAAUGCCCUCAUCAAACCACACUGCUUCACGAUACAUCAGUGACAUGGCAGGAGAUGUUUUGAAACAAUUACUGCUUCGCUUAAAAGCCAGUGAAUUCUAUGCGUUACAGCUGAAUGAGUCAACAGACAUGGCGGGCCUGGCACAGCUCCUGGUAUACGUCUGUUACAUUUAUGGGGGGUCAAUUAAGCAAACCACUUGAAACCAGGACAAUAGGAGAGAAUAUUUUGGACAGCUUUGUGACAUCAAAUGGACUUUGGUGGUCAAGAUGUGUCGGUAUCUGUACUGAUGGCACAAAAGCCAUGACAGGGAGACAUAGUGGAAUGGUAAUGCACGUGCAAGCAGUUGGGUACACUGUACAUCCACAAGAGGCUCUUGCUGCCAAGGGAAUGUCUGACAGCUUGAAAGACGUUUUGGACAAUACAAGUGAAAAUGGUUAACUGUGUUAUUAAAGCAAGGCCCCUGAACUCUCAUGUAUUUUCUGCACUAUGCAACUAUACGGGCAACGACCAUGUAAUGCUUUUACAACAUACAGAAUCGCGCUGGUUAUCACAGGGCAAAGUAUUGACAUGUUUUUUAGAAUUGAGAGACGAGCUUAAAGUUCUUACUGACCAUCAUUUUCACUUGUCUGGCAGCUUGCAUGAUGAUGAGUUUCUCACACGACUGGCCUAUCUGGGUGAUGUUUCUUCUCGCUCAAUGAUCUGAGUCUAGGAUUACAGGGAUUCUCUGCAACUAUAUUCAAUGUGCGGGACAAAAUUGAGGCUAUGAUUAGGAAGUUGGAGCUCUUCGCUCUCUGCAUCAACAAGGACAACACACACGUCUUUCCAUCAUUGUAUGAUUUUUUUGUGUGCAAAUGAACUCAAGCUUACAGACAAUGUCAAAUGUGAUAUAGCGAAGCACCUGAAUGAGUUGUUUGCGCAAUAGACAGGUACUUUCCCGAAACGGAUGACACAAACAACUGGUUUCGUUAUACCUUUCAUGCCCUGCCUCUAGUCCACUUACCGAUAUCGGAACAAAAGAGCCUCAUCGAAAUUGCAACAAGGGGUUCUGUGAAAAUUGUAAUUUAAUCAGAAGCCACUGCCAGAUUUCUGGAUUGGGCUGCGCUCAGAGUAUCCUGCCUUGGCAAAUCGCGCUGUUAAGACACUGAUGCCCUUUGCAACCAUGUACCUAUGUGAGAGUGGAUUCUCGGCCCUCACUAGCAUGAAAACUAAAUACAGGCACAGACUGGGUGUGGAAAACUGUUGUGGAAUUGUUAAAAAAUUUGAUUUGAUUUGAAAUAAUUUAAGACUGAGACUCUCCAAUACAACCCAACAUUGCAGAGUUACGUGCAUCCUUUCAAGCACACCCUUCUCAUUAACCUGUGAUGAGUUAUUCACAAUUUUUGAUGAACAAAUAAGGUUUUAUAUGUAAGAUGAUUCAAUAAAGAGCAAAAUGAUUGAUUAUUAUUAUUUGUGCCCGGGUCCUAUAAGAGCUCUUUGUCACUUCCCACGAGCCAGGUUGUGACAAAAACUCACACUCAUUGUUAUGUUUAAAUGUAUCAUAUAGUAUGUGUGGCAGGCUUACAAUUAUGGCAAAAAACAACAUUUGAGAGUGCGCUGACCUUGACGCUAGAGGGGGUAUGCAGCUGGAGGUUGAAUGUUUGAAGGGGUACAGGACUAUAAAAAGUUUGGGAACCACUGACCUACACCAUUGCUUUAUGCUGUAUGAAUAACAUGACAUCUCAAUCCUGGUUCCUGUUAAGUCACACGUCAGUUCAACAUCUAGUUUUGAUAUAUGUUUGGUUGAGUUGUCAACUAAUAUGAAUUCAACGUGAAACCUACGAAAAAUAUCACUGUCAUUGUGUUUAGGUUUGGUGAAAAUAAUACUACAUUUCCAUACAAUUGACAACUUUUUUCAAAUCCAAUCAGUUUUCCCCAUUGAUUCAACAUCAUCACAUUGAAUUUUUUUGUUGGAAUGACAUGGAAACAAUGUUGAUUGAACCAGUUUUUGCCCAGUGUGUGUGUUACGUGAGAAUGCAUUUACUUAUGUACACUCAUUCCCUUUAAUGAUUAUCAUCCACAUGUCCCCAUUUCAACUCAGCAAUGUUUUUGGAGGUGAGCAUUUUAUUCUGAUUUACAUCAGCAGGGACUCUAGUUCUAUCAGAUGACUGACUGCUUGAGAAAAGUGAGGGGGAACUCAUACGACCACAUCCCUGUCAGCACAACUCAGGUGGGCCCUGCGUAAGGAAACUUCCUGCUCCAGCUUCUGCAGCUCCUGCUCGUGUUGGGCUUCUGUCUGGGCCUUGGUCUUGUUCUGGUAGGCAUCCAGGAGCUCCAUCUCCUGCUGCAGCUGCUGCUUCAAUGCCUGGCACUCUCCUUGCUGCUCCUCCUCCAGACGCAUCUGGAGGACCAGAGAGACGAGAGCGAGAGGGGUUAAAAAUACAUAGCCUGUACUCUCUCUUCUGGUUGUCUAAGAAGGUGGUCAGCUCCUUCUUUUGCUGGGCAAUGAUCUGUUGCUGGAUCCUCUUCUCCUCUGCUGUAGCUGCCUUUAACUGUACGGGAACAUAUUAAAUGUUCCAGAAUUAAAGGUGUAUCACCUCCCUUCGAUGUUCUGUUUAAAAUUCUGACAUUAUGCUGAAAGGGCAAAAUUCUAAGGAUGCCAUCUAAUCAAGGAGUUUGAACAUAUUCAGUUUACACCUCAUUCAUACCAAUCAGGACCUACUGUCCUACCAGACAGUACAUCAUUCACCUCUUUGUCUGUGUGAACAGCGUGCCGUUUGGCCAGUCUCUCCAGUUCUAUGUAAGUGUUGUUUGCGUGGGUCUCCACUUCUUUCUGCAACCGGAGCCUAAGCUCAUCCAUCUCCGCCUUCAGCCUGUUCUCCAGGGCGAUCAGCUGCUUCUGGUGCUGCCGCCGCAUGCGCUUAUAACCAGACAUCUGCUCCCGCAGCUCAGAGUCCUGCUCAUGCUCCUGGAUCUACCUGGUGACCUGGACACAGGGGUCAGGGGUCGGAGGCCACAGAGAGAACGGUCAGGGGUGAAAAGCAAGAAGGCCUGUGAAGGAAGACGACUGUCAAAUUAAAAUGUACUGUAUCGUUCAACAUGGACGAGUAUCCUAGUCAUACUCAGUAAUAGACCUUAAAAUACAGUAGAACAAUGUUCUUUGUGAAUCUGAAACAUAACUUCACAUAUUUUAGUCUUUGCAAGAAUACCUUAAAUGGAAUAGAGUCCUCACACGGACUAUAUACAGUACACCUAAAGCUAACUAGUAUUUAUUUGGUUCUAUGUAUUUGCUCUUACUCUAGAGAGCAUUCUCUGAAUUUCACCCUUGAUGUAGUAUAACUAAAUUAAUUCCAGAUUAUACCAAAUAUAAUCUGCGUUCUUGUCCAACACAUGUAAACUUCAAUCAAUUAUAACUAAAGAUGGCCUCUAUGACCACCUAUCACAAAUCCUGUCAUAAAUUUGACACAUAAAACACACAUGCAAAGGCACAUGCACACACAAUCGCACACCAUUGUUAAUUGGUGGGCAUUCCUGGGGAUUAUUAGCUACAGUAUCUGUGGAUAGCAUUUUCCAGGGCAGGAAAUAAUGCACACGGUUCCUCUUCACUGAUUGAUCAUUGCUGCUUGGCUCAGAUUUCAUGCUAGUAACAUAGCACAUGCAUCAUCAAUUAUGGUUGCUACAUACAUGAACAUAAAGAGGGUGCCUUGAACGUUAAUGUGGUGUUCCUCAUGCUAAUAUAUCUGUCACGUACAUACUGUAUAUGUAGCCACAAAUGGAGCGGUAUGAGCCUGGUUUGCAGGCCUACUAUUGAAUGGUUAAGGUACAGCUUGUAAAUAAAUAACAAAAACACUUGAAAUCAUGAUAAACCGAUAGCGAAAGAGAUUUGAUAGAUAUCCAAAAGAUUACACACAUAUAAAAGCACAGGCAUAGGGGGAAAACGGAGGAUUGAAAAAAUGACACUUAUUAACGGGAUCCGGUUGCCAUGACUACAGAUGUGCAGCUGAAAGGACGGAGAUCGAGAACCCCCCCCCUCCCUUGUUUCUUAUGCAAACAGCUGGGAGAGGGAGCCUGCCUACCAAAGAUGCUGAUGAUUUGAUGGUGGCAAAGCAUUCACAGAUCUUGCAGUCGAGAGCCCGGCUCUUGUGAGAAGAAGUAGGCCGCAGCUCUGGCCUGGCGUCCCUGUGCACAGCCUCAUCCCUCACGCAAGCAUGGUCCUGCAGGGGGGGAGGAAAAGGAGGAGAGAGAGGGGGUGGGCGCUUCCCAGGCCCUCUGUGCUCGCUGUUGCUGCUGCUAUCGCUGCCGUGUCUCCCAGCAUCCAGCACACAUCCUGCUUUAAAUGCAUCCUUCCCCUGCGUGGUCCCUCGCUACUGCAUGCAGCUCCACGCUAGAAAUGAACAGGGCAUCGCAGAGUGAUAGCGGGCCCCGCCAGGAAGGCAGCAGCUGAAGGCAGUCCUCGUCUCUGGCGUCUCCACUUCCUGAGGAGGAGGAACCAAAUGGAUCCGGUGGGAAAGGGUGAAAUAUACAACGCCUAUAACAUACAAUCAGGGCAAAAAGAUGAGGAGGGAAAUUAUAAAGAGAGAUUGUUGCAUUCCUCCCGAACUCAAAAUCAAAUAAAAAGAUUAUGGGCCGUAUUCCUUUUCUUGUAUUCCCAUGAUGACAUGAAAUGUUAGGUGAUCUGUGAAACAAUGUAAAUCAAACACAGAUCCAUCCAAGGCAUAUUUCCCCUAUGACGAUACUAAUCAGCUAGAUAUUUAUUAUAUAUUCCAAUUCAUUUUCAGUCAAAAUACAUUGUGCUCUUUCUUAGAUGGUUGUUUCUAGUGCCUUCUAUUGAUCUCUCCAGCUCUUUCACGAGCCAUCUUUCACACUCCCACUUUUUUUUAAAGAGACACUGCAAUGUUUCACAUACUUGAUGGAAGCUGUACAACGAUUCUUUAAAUUCAUUAUAUGGUGUGGCUUCCUUAAUUUAAUAGAAUGUUGUUGAUUCUUGGUACAGAUUUGUAAACAUUUCUGAAUAAACAACAAGGUCAUUAUAAAAGUCAUACAAUAGUAGUAUUGUAAAAACUACUUCAAACGAAUACUAGUUCAAAGGGCUGUCUAUAGGUAACCUGCUGUACAGAACUUGAUUACCCUUUACAAUAACUUUCAUGAAUAAGCCAUUACAAAUGUUUAUGUGUUUUGUAAAUUACUAUGAAUGCCAUAAAUGCUUCUGAAUUGUAAUUAUGUUUAUACAUGCUUAAAAUGUUUACAAAUAAUGGCAUUGUAAUUCAUUAAUAGGUACGCUGUUUGUAAAUAUGUAUAUUAUUUGUUAAAGCUGCAAUAUGUAACCUUUUGGGCAACCUGACCAAAUUCACAUAGACAUUUGAGUUAUAUAGUGCAUUCGGAAAGUAUUCAGAUUCCUUGACUUUUUCCACAUUGUGUUACGUUAGCCUUAUUCUCAUCAUUCUACACACAAUGCCCUAUAAUGACAAACUAAAAACAGGUUUUUAGAAAUUGUAGCAAAUGUAUUAAAUGUAAAAAGCAAAUACCACAUUUACAGAAGUAUUCAGACCCUUUAGUCAGUACCUUGUUGAAGCACCCUUGGCAGCGAUUACAGCCUCAAGUCUUCUUGGGUAUGAGAGGGAGAUUCUCCCAUUCUACUCUGCAGAUCCUCUCAACCUUUGUCAGGUUGGAUGGGGAGCGUCACUGCAGUUAUUUUCAGGUCUCUCCAGAGAUGUUAGAUUGGGUUCAAGUCCAGGCUCUAUCUGGGCAACUCAAUGACAUUCAGAGACUUGUCCUGAAGCCACUCCUGUGUUGUCUUGGUUAUGUGCUUAGAGUUGUUGUCCUGUUGGAAGGUGAACCUUCGCCCCAGUCUGAGAUCCUGAGCGCUCUGGAGCAGGUUAUCAUCAAGGAAAUCUCUGUGCUUUGCUCCGUUCAUCUUCCCCUCGAUCCUGACUAGUCUCCCAGUCCCUGCCGCUGAAAAACAUCCCCACAGCAUGAUGCUGUCACCACCAUGCUUCACCGUAGGGAUGGUGCCAGGUUUCUUCCAGAUGUGACGCUUCACAUUCAAACCAAAUAAUUCAAUCUCGGCUUCAUCAGACCAGAGAAUCUUGUUUCUCGUGGUCUGCAAGUCCUUUGGGUGUUUUUUGGCAAACUCCAAACGGGCUGUCAUGUGCCUUUUACUGAGGAGUGGCUUCCGUCUGGCCGCUCUAGCAUAAAGGACUGAUUUGUGGAGUGCUGGAGAGAUGGUUGUCCUUCUGGAAGGUUCUCCCAUCUCCAUAGAGGAACUCUGGAGCUCUGUCAGAGUGACCAUCGGGUUCUUGGUCACCUCGCUGACUAAGGCCCUUCUCCCCCGAUUGUUAAGUUUGGCCGGGCGGCCAGCUCAAGGAAGAGUCUUGGUGGUUCCAAACUUCUUCCAUUUAAGAAUGAUGGAGGCCAAUGUGUUCUUGGGGAUCUUCAAUGCUGCAGACAUUUUUUGGUACCCUUCCCCAGAUCUGUGACUCGACACAAUCCUGUCUCUGAGCUCUACGGACGAUUCCUUCGACCUCAUGGCUUGGUUUUGUGCUCUGACAUGCAUUAUCAAUUGUGGGACCUCAUAUAGACAUGUGUGUGUCUUUCCAAAUCAAUGUCCAAUCAAUUUCAUUUACCACAGAGGGACUCCAAUCAAGUUGUAGAAACAUCUCAAGGAGGAUCAAUGGAAAUAGGAUGCACCUGAGCUCAAUUUCGAGUCGGAAUACUUAUAAGGUACAGUGGCAAGAAAAAGUAUGUGAACCCUUUGUAAAUACCUGGAUUUUGCCAUAAAUCGGUCAUAAAAUGUGUUCUGAUCUUUAUCUAGGUCACAACAAUAGACCAACAGUCUGCUUAAAAUAAUAACACACAAACGUGUAUUUUCUUCUGUUGAAGCCAUUCUGUUGUUGAUUUACUUCUGUGUUUUGGGUCGUUGUUCUGUUGCAUCACCCAACUUCUGUUACACUUCAAUUGGUGGACAGCCUAACAUUCUCUUGCAAAAUGUCUUGAUAAACUUGGGAAUUCAUUUUUCUGUCGAUGAUAGCAAGCUGUCCAGGCCCUAAGGCAGCAAAGCAGCCCCAAACUAUGAUGCUCCAUACUUUACAGUUGGGAUGAGUUUUUGAUGUUGGUGUGCUGUGCCUUUUUUUCUCCUCACAUAGUGUUAUGUGUUCCUUCCAAACGACUCAUCUUUAGUUUCAUAUGUCCACAGAAUAUUUAGCCAGUAACGCUGUGGAACAUCCAGGUGCUCUUUUGCGAACAUCAGAUGUGCAGCAAUGGUUUUUUUGGACAGCAGUGGCUUCCUCUGUGGUGUCCUUCCAUGAACAACAUUCGUGUUUAGUGUUUUACGUAUUGUAGACUCGUCAACAGAGAUGUUGGCAUGUUCUAGAGAUUUCUGUCUUUAGCUGACACGCCAGGAUUCUUCUUAACCUCAUUGAGCAUUCCCUAGGAGUGACAUUUUGAGCCUGUAAUCAAACCCACAAAUGCUGAUGCUCCAGAUACUCACCUAGUCUAAAGAAGGCCAGUUUCAUUGCUUCUUUAAAUCAGGACAACAGUUUUCAGCUGUUCUAACAUACUGUAAUUGCAACAGGGUUUUCUAAUGAUCAAUUAGCCUUUUUUAAAUUAUUAACUUGGAUUAGCUAACACAACGUGCCAUUGGAACACAGGAGGGAUGGUUGCUGAUAUUGGGCCUCUGUAUGCCUAUGUAGAUAUUCCAUAAAGAAAUCAGCUGUUUCCAGCUACAAUAGUCAUUUACAACAUUAGCAAUGUCUACACUGUAUUUCUGAUCAAUUUUAUGUUAUUUUAAUGGACAACAAAUGUGCUUUCCUUUCAAAAACAAGUGACCCCAAACUUUUGAAUGGUAGUGUGUAUAUAUGUAUGUGUGUGUAUGUAUAUAUAUAUAAAAAUCAUGUUAUUUUGGCAUUAAUACAUAUCAGUUUGCAAACAAAGUUACAUUUCUUUUUUAUUGCAGGUGUUCAACAUGGGCUUUGCUUCACAGAAAGCAGCAGUUGAUUUACUCCAUUGCCAACACUUUAAAUCACAUCAGUAGACCAAUAUCCUUGACAUUACCUUUUAUAACCUUCAAUCUGUUUGUUUUUUAUCAUAUUCUGGACCAGAAUAAGGCUCUACUACUUAUUGUUCCUGCAGUGGUUGGAGCGAUCUGGUCGCAUCCGCGCUUCGGUCUGCAGGUUGUAUAACUUUUUCAUUACAUUUCAUUACAUUUCAUUAUAGUACAACGGUCUGAUUUGUCUAAUCUUAGCAAUUUCCUCUUAGCUAGCUACAUAGUCGUCGUUGUAUCAAAGAUAAUUGCGUAAUUAUCGUAUUUCGUCGUCUCCUAUCUGUCGUCUCCUAUCUGUCCAACACGUUCACCGUCUACCGUAGCACUGUAGUACUAUCACACUCAACUGAACGUCUUGAUUAGUGUAGUGUUAGCUAGCUACAUAGCUAGCUACAUAGUUGUCUUUGCUGUCUUCGUAUCCAAGAUAAUUGUGUAGCUUAGAGUGUGGAGUCUUAGAGUGAUAAUUGCGUUAUUAUCGUAUUUCGUCGCCCUCCUAUCUGCCUAGCAGCUAG